UUGAACGCUGGCGGCAUGCUUUACACAUGCAAGUCGAACGGCAGCGGGGGCUUCGGCCUGCCGGCGAGUGGCGAACGGGUGAGUAAUGCAUCGGAACGUACCCAGUCGUGGGGGAUAACGCAGCGAAAGCUGUGCUAAUACCGCAUACGAUCUACGGAUGAAAGCAGGGGACCGCAAGGCCUUGCGCGGACGGAGCGGCCGAUGGCAGAUUAGGUAGUUGGUGGGAUAAAAGCUUACCAAGCCGACGAUCUGUAGCUGGUCUGAGAGGACGACCAGCCACACUGGGACUGAGACACGGCCCAGACUCCUACGGGAGGCAGCAGUGGGGAAUUUUGGACAAUGGGGGCAACCCUGAUCCAGCCAUUCCGCGUGAGUGAAGAAGGCCUUCGGGUUGUAAAGCUCUUUCAGCAGGAGCGAAACGGUCGUUUUUAAUACAGACGGCUAAUGACGGUACCUGCAGAAGAAGCACCGGCUAACUACGU
RNAcentral lists this ribosomal RNA (482 nucleotides) under uncultured bacterium. RNAcentral describes it as "bacterial SSU rRNA". It matches the Rfam family "Bacterial small subunit ribosomal RNA", at positions 30 to 506 of the family's 1533-position model. The record is from RNAcentral.